GACGAACGCUGGCGGCGUGCUUAACACAUGCCAGUCGAACGCGCCUGUCCUCUGGGUUUCUGGGGGGUGGGUGAGUGGCGAACGGGUGAGUAACACGUGAGUAACCUGCCCCCUUCUUCGGGAUAACGGUCUGAAAGGGCUGCUAAUACCGGGUAUUCACUGGUCUCCGCAUGGGGUCUGGUGGAAAGGUUUUUUUCUGGUGGGGGAUGGGCUCGCGACCUAUCAGCUUGUUGGUGGGGUGAUGGCCCACCAAGGCUUUGACGGGUAGCCGGCCUGAGAGGGUGACCGGUCACAUUGGGACUGAGAUACGGCCCAGACUCCUACGGGAGGCAGCAGUGGGGAAUAUUGCACAAUGGGCGCAAGCCUGAUGCAGCGACGCCGCGUGAGGGAUGGAGGCCUUCGGGUUGUGAACCUCUUUCGCCCGUGGUCAAGCCGCGACGUGGGUCGUGGUGAGGGUAGUGGGUAAAGAAGCGCCGGCUAACUACGUG
This 488-nucleotide ribosomal RNA is filed under the name uncultured bacterium. RNAcentral describes it as "partial 16S ribosomal RNA". It matches the Rfam family "Bacterial small subunit ribosomal RNA", at positions 28 to 507 of the family's 1533-position model. The record is from RNAcentral.